This 496-nucleotide ribosomal RNA is filed under the name uncultured bacterium. RNAcentral describes it as "partial 16S ribosomal RNA". It matches the Rfam family "Bacterial small subunit ribosomal RNA", at positions 29 to 507 of the family's 1533-position model. The record is from RNAcentral.
AUGAACGCUGGCGGCGUGCCUAAUACAUGCCAGUCGCGCGAACAGACGAGGAGCUUGCUCCUCUGACGUUAGCGGCGGACGGGUGAGUAACACGUGGAUAACCUACCUAUAAGACUGGGAUAACUUCGGGAAACCGGAGCUAAUACCGGAUAAUAUAUUGAACCGCAUGGUUCAAUAGUGAAAGACGGUUUUGCUGUCACUUAUAGAUGGAUCCGCGCCGCAUUAGCUAGUUGGUAAGGUAACGGCUUACCAAGGCAACGAUGCGUAGCCGACCUGAGAGGGUGAUCGGCCACACUGGAACUGAGAAACGGUCCAGACUCCUACGGGAGGCAGCAGUAGGGAAUCUUCCGCAAUGGGCGAAAGCUUGACGGAGCAACGCCGCGUGAGUGAUGAAGGUCUUCGGAUCGUAAAACUCUGUUAUUAGGGAAGAACAAAUGUGUAAGUAACUAUGCACGUCUUGACGGUACCUAAUCAGAAAGCCACGGCUAACUACGUG